RNAcentral lists this ribosomal RNA (253 nucleotides) under uncultured bacterium. RNAcentral's name for it is "partial 16S ribosomal RNA". It matches the Rfam family "Bacterial small subunit ribosomal RNA", at positions 524 to 776 of the family's 1533-position model. The record is from RNAcentral.
GACGAACCGUACGAGCGUUAUUCGGAAUUACUGGGCUUAAAGGGUGCGUAGGCGGGUCUUUAAGUCAGGGGUGAAAUCCUGGAGCUCAACUCCAGAACUGCCUUUGAUACUGAAGAUCUUGAGUUCGGGAGAGGUGAGUGGAACUGCGAGUGUAGAGGUGAAAUUCGUAGAUAUUCGCAAGAACACCAGUGGCGAAGGCGGCUCACUGGCCCGAUACUGACGCUGAGGCACGAAAGCGUGGGGAGCAAACAGG